RNAcentral lists this unclassified non-coding RNA (384 nucleotides) under soil metagenome. Its description in RNAcentral is "partial contains 5.8S ribosomal RNA, internal transcribed spacer 2, and large subunit ribosomal RNA". The stretch from base 1 to 120 matches the Rfam family "5.8S ribosomal RNA", at positions 35 to 154 of the family's 154-position model. The record is from RNAcentral.
GAUGAAGAACGUAGUGAAAUGCGAUAAGUAAUGUGAAUUGCAGAAUUCAGUGAAUCAUCGAAUCUUUGAACGCAUCUUGCGCUCCUUGGUAUUCCGAGGAGCAUGCCUGUUUGAGUGUCAUUAAAUUCUCAACUACACUGAUUUUUUUUUUUUGGUUGGUGUAGAUUGGAUUUGGGGGGAUUUUUUGCGGGCUUUGUAAAAUGAAGUCAGCUCCCCUGAAAUUGAUUAGCGGUACCUUUGUGGAACUGUCUACAGGUGUGAUAAUUAUCUACAUCUUAGACAUCUGCUGGAAUGCUGCUUUCUAAACCUUACUUGUAUUGACAAUCUUGACCUCAAAUCAGGUAGGACUACCCGCUGAACUUAAGCAUAUCAAUAAGCGGAGGA